CCUACGGGCUGCAGCAGUGGGGAAUAUUGCACAAUGGAGGAAACCCUGAUGCAGCAACGCCGCGUGAGUGAAGAAGUAUUUCGGUAUGUAAAGCUCUAUCAUCAGGGAAAAAGAUGACGGUACCUGAUUAAGAAGCACCGGCUAACUACGUGCCAGCAGCCGCGGUUAUACGUAGGGGGCAAGCGUUAUCCGGAUUGACUGGGGGUAAAGGGAGCGAAGUCGGCAGGGAAAGUCUGGAGUUAAAGGCCGGGGCCCAACCCCGGUACUGCCCUGGAAACUGUGCGGCUAGAGUACUGGAGGGGCAGGGGGAAUUCCUGGUGUAGCGGUGAAAUGCGUAGAUAUUAGGAGGAACACCAGUGGCGAAAGCGGCCUGCUGGACAGUAACUGACGUUGAGGCUCGAAAGCGUGGGUAGCAAACAGGAUUAGAUACCCGUGUAGUC
This 440-nucleotide ribosomal RNA is filed under the name uncultured bacterium. RNAcentral's name for it is "partial 16S ribosomal RNA". It matches the Rfam family "Bacterial small subunit ribosomal RNA", at positions 338 to 795 of the family's 1533-position model. The record is from RNAcentral.